CUACGGGCCGCAGCAGUGGGGAAUAUUGCACAAUGGAGGAAACUCUGAUGCAGCCACGCCGCGUGGAGGAUGACACUUUUCGGAGCGUAAACUCCUUUUAUAUAGGAAGAAGAUGACGGUACUAUAUGAAUAAGCGCCGGCUAACUCCGUGCCAGCAGCCGCGGUAAUACGGAGGGCGCAAGCGUUACUCGGAAUCACUGGGCGUAAAGAGCGUGUAGGCGGAUUAAAAAGUCAGAAGUGAAAUCCUAUAGCUUAACUAUAGAACUGCUUCUGAAACUCUUAAUCUAGAAUAUGGGAGAGGUAGAUGGAAUUUCUGGUGUAGGGGUAAAAUCCGUAGAGAUCAGAAGGAAUACCGAUUGCGAAGGCGAUCUACUAGAACACUAUUGACGCUGAGACGCGAAAGCGUGGGGAGCAAACAGGAUUAGAUACCCCAGUAGUC
Molecule: ribosomal RNA, 439 nt
Filed under: uncultured bacterium
Lineage: Bacteria
Description: partial 16S ribosomal RNA
Rfam family: Bacterial small subunit ribosomal RNA
Source: RNAcentral